ACGCUGGCGGCGUGCUUAACACAUGCAAGUCGAACGAAGAUAUUUAGAAUGAGAGCUUCGGCAGGAUUUUUAUCUAUCUUAGUGGCGGACGGGUGAGUAACGUGUGGGCAACCUGCCCUGUACUGUGGAAUAAUCAUUGGAAACGAUGACUAAUACCGCAUGUGGUCCUCGGAAGGCAUCUUCUGAGGAAGAAAGGAUUUAUUCGGUACAGGAUGGGCCCGCAUCUGAUUAGCUAGUUGGUGAGAUAACAGCCCACCAAGGCGACGAUCAGUAGCCGACCUGAGAGGGUGAUCGGCCACAUUGGGACUGAGACACGGCCCAAACUCCUACGGGAGGCAGCAGUGGGGAAUAUUGCACAAUGGGCGAAAGCCUGAUGCAGCAACGCCGCGUGAAGGAUGAAGGGUUUCGGCUCGUAAACUUCUAUCAAUAGGGAAGAAACAAAUGACGGUACCUAAAUAAGAAGCCCCGGCUAACUACGUGCCAGCAGCCGCGGUAAUACGUAGGGGGCAAGCGUUAUCCGGAAUUACUGGGUGUAAAGGGAGCGUAGGCGGCAUGGUAAGCCAGAUGUGAAAGCCUUGGGCUUAACCCGAGGAUUGCAUUUGGAACUAUCAAGCUAGAGUACAGGAGAGGAAAGCGGAAUUCCUAGUGUAGCGGUGAAAUGCGUAGAUAUUAGGAAGAACACCAGUGGCGAAGGCGGCUUUCUGGACUGAAACUGACGCUGAGGCUCGAAAAGCGUGGGGAGCAAACAGGAUUAGAUACCCUGGUAGUCCACGCCGUAAACGAUGAGUGCUAGGUGUCGGGGAGGAAUCCUCGGUGCCGCAGCUAACGCAAUAAGCACUCCACCUGGGGAGUACGACCGCAAGGUUGAAACUCAAAGGAAUUGACGGGGGCCCGCACAAGCGGUGGAGCAUGUGGUUUAAUUCGAAGCAACGCGAAGAACCUUACCAAGGCUUGACAUCCCGAUGACCGUCCUAGAGAUAGGACUUCUCUUCGGAGCAUCGGUGACAGGUGGUGCAUGGUUGUCGUCAGCUCGUGUCGUGAGAUGUUGGGUUAAGUCCCGCAACGAGCGCAACCCUUAUCUUCAGUAGCCAUCAUUCAGUUGGGCACUCUGGAGAGACUGCCGUGGAUAACACGGAGGAAGGUGGGGAUGACGUCAAAUCAUCAUGCCCCUUAUGUCUUGGGCUACACACGUGCUACAAUGGCUGGUAACAAAGUGACGCGAGACGGCGACGUUAAGCAAAUCACAAAAACCCAGUCCCAGUUCGGAUUGUAGUCUGCAACUCGACUACAUGAAGCUGGAAUCGCUAGUAAUCGCGAAUCAGCAUGUCGCGGUGAAUACGUUCCCGGGCCUUGUACACACCGCCCGUCACACCAUGGGAGUUGGAAGCACCCGAAGUCGGUGACCUAACCGUAAGGAAGGAGCCACCGAAGGUGAAGCCAGUGAC
RNAcentral lists this ribosomal RNA (1445 nucleotides) under uncultured organism. Its description in RNAcentral is "16S ribosomal RNA". It matches the Rfam family "Bacterial small subunit ribosomal RNA". The record is from RNAcentral.